CCUACGGGUGGCAGCAGUGAGGAAUAUUGGUCAAUGGACGAGAGUCUGAACCAGCCAAGUAGCGUGAAGGAUGACUGCCCUAUGGGUUGUACACUUCUUUUAUAUGGGAAUAAAAUGUUCCACGUGUGGGGUUCUGUAUGUACCAUAUGAAUAAGGAUCGGCUAACUCCGUGCCAGCAGCCGCGGUAAUACGGAAGAUCCGAGCGUUAUCCGGAUUUAUUGGGUUUAAAGGUAGCGGAGGUGGAAUGUUAAGUCAGUUGGGAAAAUGUGGGGGUCAACCGUGAAAGUGCCGUUGAAACUGGCAGUCUUGAGUACAGGAGAAGUAGGCGGAAUUCGUGGUGUAGCGGUGAAAUGCUUAGAUAUCACGAAGAACUCCGAUUGCGAAGGCAGCUCACUGGAGUGCAACUGACACUGAUGCACGAAAGUGUGGGUAUCGAACAGGAUUAGAUACCCGUGUAGUC
Molecule: ribosomal RNA, 460 nt
Filed under: uncultured bacterium
Lineage: Bacteria
Description: partial 16S ribosomal RNA
Rfam family: Bacterial small subunit ribosomal RNA
Source: RNAcentral